CACAGGGGAAGAGGAUCUCCUGGGAAAGCCAUGAGAAAGGUCCAGACAGGAUGUCCCUUCCUCUGAGUAUUUUGGCUUUCUGCCUGUAUUUGGGCUCUGUGAUUACCUAAGAUUGUGAAGGAACAGCUCUACAGAAACAAAGGAGAAAAUGACAGAAGUAAAAGAAGGAGCAAAAGAAGGUAGAAAAGAAACAAGCUGGAGCUCUAUAUCUAGGCUAGUAGAAAAUUCAUGGAAGGAAAUUAUCCUCUGUGCAGCAC
RNAcentral lists this long non-coding RNA (257 nucleotides) under Anas platyrhynchos platyrhynchos (common mallard). Its description in RNAcentral is "lncRNA (ENSAPLG00000026473.1)". The record is from RNAcentral. Lineage: Eukaryota; Metazoa; Chordata; Aves; Anseriformes; Anatidae.